RNAcentral lists this ribosomal RNA (467 nucleotides) under uncultured bacterium. RNAcentral's name for it is "partial 16S ribosomal RNA". It matches the Rfam family "Bacterial small subunit ribosomal RNA", at positions 28 to 506 of the family's 1533-position model. The record is from RNAcentral.
GACGAACGCUGGCGGCGUGCUUAACACAUGCAAGUCGAACGGAAAGGCCCUGCUUUUGUGGGGUGCUCGAGUUGCGAACGGGUGAGUAACACGUGAGUAACCUGCCCUUGACUUUGGGAUAACUUCAGGAAACUGGGGCUAAUACCGGAUAGGAGCUCCCGCUGCAUGGUGGGGGUUGGAAAGUUUCGGCGGUUGGGGAUGGACUCGCGGCUUAUCAGCUUGUUGGUGGGGUAGUGGCUUACCAAGGCUUUGACGGGUAGCCGGCCUGAGAGGGUGGCCGGCCACAUUGGGAAUGAGGUACGGCCGAGACUCCUACGGGAGGCAGGAAGGGGGAAUAUUUAACAAUGGGCGGACGCAUGAUGCAGCAACGCCGCGUGCGGGAGGACGGCCUUCGGGUGGUAAACAGCUUUCGCCUGUGACGAAGCGUGAGUGACGGUAAUGGGGAAAGAAGCACCGGCUAACUACGU